ACAUAACUGAUGCCUCCGCGUAUCGACUUUGUGCGCAUUUUAGCUAUUUAUGUGUUCUUUUUAAUUGAAAUGAUUCUUUUUAAGAUUCAUCUAUUAAAAAUUUGCUUCGGCAUAAUUUUUUUUGAUGAUCUUGUUACUUUGAGUAAAUUAGAGUGUUCAAAGCAAACAGAUAUAGCAUUUGUGCGUUUGAAUACUACAGCAUGGAAUAACAAAAUUGAACAAGUCAGAAUUUUUUUGUUCUUUUUUCUUAUUUUGGCUUAGUUACGAUUAAUAGGAGUAGCUUGGGGGCAUUUGUAUUCAGAUGUCAGAGGUGAAAUUCUUAGAUUUUCUGGAGACAAACAACUGCGAAAGCAUUUGCCUAAAAUACUUCCAUUAAUCAAGAACGAAAGUUAAGGGAGUGAAGACGAUCAGAUACCGUCGUAAUCUUAACCAUAAACUAUGCCGACUAGGCUUUGGAUGAAAGAUUUUAAAAUAAGAGUUUUUCUUUUCUCUCCGGAGAUUAGAACUCUUAGAUUGCUUCCUUCAGUGCCUUAUGAGAAAUCAAAGUCUUUGGGUUCUGGGGCGAGUAUUCGCGCAAGCGAGAAAGUUAAAAGAAUUGACGGAAGGGCACCACCAGGCGUGGAGCUUGCGGCUUAAUUUGACUCAACACGGGAAAACUCACUAGUUUAAGACAAGAGUAGGAUUGACAGAUUAAUAGCUCUUUCUUGAUUUCUUGGAUGGUGAUGCAUGGCCGUUUUUAGUUCGUGAAUAUGAUUUGUCUGGUUAAUUCCGAUAACGAACGAGAUCUUAACCUGCUAAUUAGCGGCAAAUACGAUAUAUUCUUAUGUAGAAUUGAAUAUAGUGGAUUUGUUAGAUUUUGAAGAAAAUAUUGGAAUUACGUUAAAUGUGAUUCCUUUCCCUUUUCUACUUAAUUUACAUUUCCAUCUAUUUCUUUUUUGCGUAUGAAUGUAUUUGCUUGAUUGUAAAGCUUCUUAGAGGAACGAUGUGUG
This 989-nucleotide ribosomal RNA is filed under the name Plasmodium knowlesi. RNAcentral describes it as "SSU rRNA". It matches the Rfam family "Eukaryotic small subunit ribosomal RNA", at positions 636 to 1428 of the family's 1831-position model. The record is from RNAcentral. Lineage: Eukaryota; Apicomplexa; Aconoidasida; Haemosporida; Plasmodiidae.